CAGGCAGCUGUUCACCAACUAAUUUUAUGCCUUACACAACUCAGCACAUAUAUUCUGCCCUCUCUAUAGAUUAUGCUGAUGCCCCACCGUAAGAACCUGUAGCUCUUUACUGGUUCUGUGGGAGGUGACGUGGCCACAAAUCAGUGCCUGGGACACCUUACAGUGCUACCACUGUCUGAACAACAGCCAAAGGGUGGUCAAGACAUCUACUGCAACUUCAUCUUUAGUGUGUCUGCUCUGCUGCACCUGGGAGAUAAAGAUGGCUCUGGCUUGCUGAUGACAUCUGAUCUGAUCUGACUCCUUGCAAUUUGACUCCUGUAUUACUG
Oncorhynchus tshawytscha (Chinook salmon) is the source of this 326-nucleotide long non-coding RNA. RefSeq lists it as uncharacterized. The record is from RefSeq and is a predicted model, not a curated record. The transcript is spliced from 3 exons. NCBI's taxonomy places the organism in Eukaryota, Metazoa, Chordata, Actinopteri, Salmoniformes, Salmonidae.